This 588-nucleotide ribosomal RNA is filed under the name uncultured bacterium. Its description in RNAcentral is "bacterial SSU rRNA". It matches the Rfam family "Bacterial small subunit ribosomal RNA", at positions 102 to 677 of the family's 1533-position model. The record is from RNAcentral.
ACGGGUGAGUGACACGUAGGUAACCUGCCUAUGAGACUGGGAUAACUAUCGGAAACGAUAGCUAAGACCGGAUAACUGGUUUUCUCGCAUGAGAGAAUCAUGAAACACGGAGCAAUCUGUGGCUUAUAGAUGGGCCUGCGGCGCAUUAGCUAGUUGGUAGGGUAACGGCCUACCAAGGCGACGAUGCGUAGCCGACCUGAGAGGGUGAACGGCCACACUGGGACUGAGACACGGCCCAGACUCCUACGGGAGGCAGCAGUAGGGAAUCUUCCGCAAUGGACGCAAGUCUGACGGAGCAACGCCGCGUGAGUGAUGAAGGUUUUCGGAUCGUAAAGCUCUGUUGCCCUAGACGAACAGCAAGGAGAGUAACUGCUCUUUGUGUGACGGUAUAGGAGAAGAAAGCCCCGGCUAACUACGUGCCAGCAGCCGCGGUAAUACGUAGGGGGCAAGCGUUGUCCGGAAUUAUUGGGCGUAAAGCGCGCGCAGGCGGUUAAUUAAGUUGGGUGUUUAAGCCCGGGGCUCAACCCCGGUUCGCAUCCAAAACUGGUUGACUUGAGUGUAGGAGAGGAAAGUGGAAUUCCACGUGUA